Taeniopygia guttata (zebra finch) is the source of this 309-nucleotide non-coding RNA. The record is from RefSeq and is a predicted model, not a curated record. NCBI's taxonomy places the organism in Eukaryota, Metazoa, Chordata, Aves, Passeriformes, Estrildidae.
UCUGACAGUUGUGAAAACAAAUUGUUCUGAUUAUGUUUUGUUUUAACUUUUCUAACAGAAUCAAAAGGGUUAUUCUAAAGGAGAAGAUUUGAAAGACUGGAAAUUCACUUGCAUACCACAGCUUCUUGAAGCCAAGAAAGAACUAAACAAGGGUCACAGGUUGCUAUUUUCUGAAGACAGCUGCUGUCAUCCAGCCCCUGCAGCUCCAGCCCUGCACCUCUUGCCUGUAUCCAUCAUUGCAUCUCUGGCCCCUGCUGCAUCAGUUGACCUGAUUUUGUUUGUAAUCAAGUUCAAAUUCAUUUGUGAGCU